Long non-coding RNA from Siniperca chuatsi (mandarin fish), 2367 nucleotides. RefSeq lists it as uncharacterized. The transcript is spliced from 2 exons. The record is from RefSeq and is a predicted model, not a curated record. Lineage: Eukaryota; Metazoa; Chordata; Actinopteri; Centrarchiformes; Sinipercidae.
ACCACUACCCCCUGUUUUAAAUAGGACUAAAAGCAUUCACGUUUUCAUCCAGGUAUUUGGUCAAAACCACAAGUACUGGACAGUGAAAUGUUGACUGGCACUGAAGAAAAAUGUAAGAGGAUCACCAGACUUCAAUAAACAUCUUUCCAAAAUGUCACGGCAGUCCAUCCAAUAAACUACAAAUGUCAACUUCAAACUUCAAACCUCAUGGUGGUGCCAAAGGAGAAGUGAGGAGAUAAUCAAAGAUAAUCUCUUCAAAGUAUAUAUUGUGCCAAACCAUCCUCUACUUGUUGAGAUAUUUCACUGGAUAAGUGAAAACUUAUCAAUUCAAUUUCUCCAUAGACAGACACAGUGGAAGGAAAUGCUCAGAUAAACAACAAAAUACCUUUUACUGUUUGCCUACAUAAUGCAAACUGUGUAACACAUAAUAGUACUGUUGGACCCUGCAAGGGUUCCCAAAGGACUGACACACAAACAGACCGUAUGGAUGCUGAGCCAAGCUUUAAUCAGAAAGAGCAGAAAAUAAGAGGACUUGCUAAUGCUUUACAGAAGUAUAGACUGACAUGAGUUCUGUAAAUACAGAGGUUAAUUAACAAAACAUACAUUUAAACUUUGAUGGAUUCUGGCACGCAUUUUUGCAUAGUAGAUCAAUUGCAAGCCAUUUUGAGAGUGUUGACCUUUCAGGGGACGGAGAACGUGGAGUCCAAAAAGGAAGAAGAUAUCUAUCAAAUAGUUUUACUUAUUAGCGGUUAUCAAAUAACAACAAUGACUUUAAUCUUUAUUUAAAUAAAUGAAUCAGAACAAGGACACCGUAAUCGAGCAAUCCUUAUUGCUGCACAGUUAUAUCGGUAUCGUAUCAGUAUCGGCUAUAUGUUGUCCGAUAUGCGUCGAUAUGAAACCAGUUUUUUUCUGAUAUAUAAUGCAGACAAAAAUGCUUGUGGUAAAAUUUCUAUAAUUGGUUGACAAUGUAUAUGUUAAAUUAUUUAACAUGUUAAAGAAUAUUUAACUUAAAUAUUCUUUAAUAAAGUUAUUUGUUUAAGAAAGCAGCGCUCUGAGUACCUUUUCAUAAUUAUAUCGGUGCACAAUCCACAUAGAAAUGUAUUUGUAUCUACAUGUAUUUUCAUCGGACGCCAUAUCGGUAACAGGUGAAUAUUUCUCCUCUAAAAUCGGUAUCUGUAUUGGUCUCAAAAAUCCCAUUUCGGUCAGGCUCUAGUUUCAUGGUUUGUAGUAAGUCAUGAGACAUGAGUGGAUGGUACAAAUAUGUUUGUUUAAAUGAACUGUGUUAACUAAUGUCCAGUUAGCGACUGAAAGCACAAGUAGUCACUACGUCACCUAGCUUCCGGCACCACCUGUGUCGUGACGACAUGCAAAUGGAUUUAGCUGUGCCACUUUCUGGUGUGACCGGACGCUAUGAUGGAAGUUAUUAAAUGAAAAUAACAAUCUUGUAGUAUGAAAUGAAAAAAGGGCAUUUUAAGCGUAAGGAAUUUCUUUAUCUCAGUCACAGUGGGUUCAUGGGACUGCUGUGCAUUCAAGCUCAAGUUCUACUAAAUGUACAGGGACGAGUAUUAUAGUGGUGUGAAAAAGUGUUUGCCUGCUUCCCGAUUUCUUAUUUUUUAAAUUUAAAUAUUAGUCAAAGAUAACAGAAGUAAACACAAAAUGCAGUUUUUAAAUGAAGGUUGUUAUUAUUAAGGGAAAACAAAAUCCAAACCUACAUGGCCCUGUGUGAAAUAGUGAUCUUGUCUUCUGUUGUUCCCCAAUCAACUGAUGCUUUUGUUCUAUAACAACAAUAUUAUAAUUUCUAAUAUUAAAAUAAAAGUAGCAGCAGUAAUAGUUCAAAUAAUGUUUGAGGGCAAUGCAGCAGCGGCUUGACCCACCAUAGCCAGUGUACUCUUCACGUCCCUGCAGACCUAUACGACCUGAAUCACAGCAGUCCCAGGAACUUUUCUACCUUCUGCCAGUGUAACUGAGCCCGCUGCCCUCAACCUGAAGUGGGGGGCAGGUUGCUGCUGGAAGCAGGCUAAUCGGAAACACAAUAAUGUGCAACCCCUCCAUUAAUGGAGCAGCUGGUGCACUGCAUCCAAUUAUUUGUUCUGUCACAACGGAAUAUGUUCUCCAGACCGACUGCAGUGCCGAGCCGCUGAAGGGCUCCAAUCCGUUGUUGGUCAGUAUUGCCUGGACCAAUGUUGGGUCUGAAUAUUUUAGAAAACACAACAGCAUAAUUCGGCCAUUUACUGAUGUAAUUUAUUCUUUGGAGAAUGCUCUCACGAUGUGUUUUGCUUGAACAUUUUUCAACACAUGGGGAAGCAUACACAUAGAAAAGCAACAAAUCGUUCUCAUUACGGCGGUUAAACAAGUAGCCUAAGUAGU